Herpailurus yagouaroundi (jaguarundi) is the source of this 1035-nucleotide long non-coding RNA. RefSeq lists it as uncharacterized. The transcript has 2 exons. NCBI's taxonomy places the organism in Eukaryota, Metazoa, Chordata, Mammalia, Carnivora, Felidae. The record is from RefSeq and is a predicted model, not a curated record.
GCCUCAGCAUCCCUGCGGGUGCACCUGGUCGGGUCACAGCCCCUAGUUAGCACGGACUCAUUACCAGGGCCUGUGCAGGGCACGUCCCGCAGGAGCUCUAUGGGAGGCGUAAGCGCCCGUCUCUGGGGCUCCUCCGCCUGGGAGCACGUCACGUACUCUAGAGAAGCAGUUGGAGACACCUUCUGCAUUCCACACAGGUGCCUCACGCGGUUGGCCCGCGUGAGCAAAUGGAGAAACUGAGUCACGGGGCUGGCAAGUAGUUCUGCAGAAGCUGCGAGGCUGAGUCAGGCCGGGCGCCGGGAACCUGCGGGCCUCACGUGAGGGGUACGCCCAGGGCCAGUUGUGGAACCCUCUGAGCCCAGGCACAGAAGUUCCAGGACCUUCCGUAAGCGGCAGGCAACGCAGCCAAAUUGACGCUCCCGUACGACGGUGAGCAGCUACCGGCCUUCUCUCUUGGCUGUUGGCCUCCUGACCCACGGAGGGUCUGCAGGCUGUCCGGGUUGAGCCCCCUCAGCAGGGCAAAAGGCUGCCCCUGGGGAUGUCUCUGGCUGGAAAGGGGGAACCGAGGCAGCAGCAGACCUGCCCCGCCCCCCACACUGCAGAACAGCCUCGGGGAAACUGCUAAUGAGGUCCAGGGUGAGCCCUCUGGCAGGCGAAAUGGGCAAUAUUGCUUCUCAUUAUAUUCUAAUUAGAUGUUUAAACUAAAAAUCACCUGCAAACUUAAAGUAGUCAUUCCAAAAGUGUUUAAGAUACACACAAAGGUGUGUAAGUUGCACUUCAGUGUGUAGAGUAUGAAGCUAGUCUGUAAAAGCAAAAUAAAUUACACAUUAAUAUUUGUAAAAGAAGUAAUCUGGAAGCAUAUACCUAAACUGUUAACAGAGCCUGUCACCAGAGAAGAACUUGCAAUAUUAAAUGUAAAUGUUUAUGAAAAAGUUUGCUGGUGGUGGUAGCUGUUGUUUGUUUGUUUUGGUUUUGUCUCUUACAAGGAGCAUGAAUUACUUUUCCAAUUGGAAAAAAAAUACAGGCAAAAUGGUU